RNAcentral lists this long non-coding RNA (497 nucleotides) under Limulus polyphemus (Atlantic horseshoe crab). RNAcentral's name for it is "uncharacterized LOC111083505, transcript variant X2". Lineage: Eukaryota; Metazoa; Arthropoda; Merostomata; Xiphosura; Limulidae. The record is from RNAcentral.
CAUAUUGUAUUUUAUAAUUCCUUUUAUUUAUAGAAACAUUAAUCCUGAUGUUUAUGAUAUAUUGUUCUUUGUUAGUAGAAAGUUCUGGCAAUGGGAAUAUCCAUAAACUAAAUCUAAACUAUACAAUUAGUUUUAUAAGUGAUCAAAAAAGGACUUCUUGGAAACAACUACAAAUACCCAACAUCAUCUGCAACCUUAGAAGAACGAACAGAACUAUUUACAUAUAUUAAACAGACAAUAUCCAAAGUUGAAUUACAUCGGAAGCUACAGCGAAAGGCUUACAACCAAAAAAGUGGCGUCAGUAGACUUGAAGAGUGCCUUCCCCCCCCCCUCUCUCUCUCCAAUGAGAUGAAUUUCUUUUGACGUGUCCAAAUAUCAUCUUUCGACUUUACGAGUCAUUUGUGUCAUCUGCCCUACCUAGAUGGUCUUCAAACUCAAGCACUCCCUCAACUUUGCUGGUCUUUGGACUUAACUUCCCGUAACCUGAAUCUGAGCAG